Molecule: long non-coding RNA, 434 nt
Filed under: Anser brachyrhynchus (Pink-footed goose)
Lineage: Eukaryota; Metazoa; Chordata; Aves; Anseriformes; Anatidae
Description: lncRNA (ENSABRG00000001560.1)
Source: RNAcentral
AGAAAUCCUGGAGACAUGGGUGCAAGUUUAAAAUUUUAACAUCCUAUCCAUUUGUAAAUUUUUCCAAACCCGGGAAUAUUUCUGAACAAGAAGUGAAGCAUCUCUAACUGUUUAGAGGAAAUGUUAUUACACAAUGGAGGACAAAACAGGCAAGCCACUUCAAACAGGAUAAAUGAAUGAAGGCUUCAAGGGAUCAUUUCCAAAUCUGAUGGAUGAGUUCAAAAUAUUCAAUUCAUUCUAACCAUCAGGCGGAAAAACAGUCGAACUCCUGAGGAGAAAAGAGCAGAUAAAUGCUGAAAUGAACUUGCAUAUCUUUAAGAGGUGCAACCAAUGGAUUCACACCACAAAAACUUUUGAAAGAGAGUUUUGAACUGCUGCAACUUGUAUGCCCCUUACUGAAAAGUGAGUAGAAAUGUGAUUUUCUGUUUUAAAAC